GAUGAACGCUGGCGGCGUGCUUAACACAUGCAAGUCGAACGGUGAAGGCGGAGCUUGCUCUGCUGGAUCAGUGGCGAACGGGUGAGUAACACGUGAGCAAUCUGCCCCUGACUCUGGGAUAAGCGCUGGAAACGGCGUCUAAUACUGGAUACGAGCUGCGAAGGCAUCUUCAGCAGCUGGAAAGAAUUUCGGUCAGGGAUGAGCUCGCGGCCUAUCAGCUUGUUGGUGAGGUAAUGGCUCACCAAGGCGUCGACGGGUAGCCGGCCUGAGAGGGUGACCGGCCACACUGGGACUGUGACACGGCCCAGACUCCUACGGGAGGCAGCAGUGGGGAAUAUUGCACAAUGGGCGAAAGCCUGAUGCAGCAACGCCGCGUGAGGGACGACGGCCUUCGGGUUGUAAACCUCUUUUAGCAGGGAAGAAGCGAAAGUGACGGUACCUGCAGAAAAAGCGCCGGCUAACUACGUG
RNAcentral lists this ribosomal RNA (468 nucleotides) under uncultured bacterium. RNAcentral describes it as "partial 16S ribosomal RNA". It matches the Rfam family "Bacterial small subunit ribosomal RNA", at positions 28 to 507 of the family's 1533-position model. The record is from RNAcentral.